GAUGAAGAACGUAGCAAAAUGCGAUACUUGGUGUGAAUUGCAGAAUCCCGUGAACCACCGAGUUUUUGAACGCAAGUUGCGCCCGAAGCCUUUUGGCCGAGGGCACGUCUGCCUGGGCGUCACACAUCGCGUCGCCCCCCACAACUCUCCGUAAAGGGAACUUGUGUUUUGGGGGCGGAUAUUGGUCUCCCGUGCUCAUGGCGUGGUUGGCCGAAAUAGGAGUCCCUCCGGUGGACGCACGAACUAGUGGUGGUCGUAAAAACCCUCGUCUUUUGUUUCGUGCCGUUAGUCGCGAGGGAAACUCUUUAAAAACCCAAAUGUGUCGUCUCUUGACGGCGCUUCGACCGCGACCCCAGGUCAGGCGGGACUACCCGCUGAGUUUAAGCAUAUCAAUAAGCGGAGGA
RNAcentral lists this unclassified non-coding RNA (404 nucleotides) under soil metagenome. RNAcentral describes it as "partial contains 5.8S ribosomal RNA, internal transcribed spacer 2, and large subunit ribosomal RNA". The stretch from base 1 to 122 matches the Rfam family "5.8S ribosomal RNA", at positions 35 to 154 of the family's 154-position model. The record is from RNAcentral.